Cicer arietinum (chickpea) is the source of this 851-nucleotide non-coding RNA. The record is from RefSeq and is a predicted model, not a curated record. Lineage: Eukaryota; Viridiplantae; Streptophyta; Magnoliopsida; Fabales; Fabaceae.
GUGUGUGAGUGAUUUUUUUUUUUUCAAUAAAAAUAAAAAAUUAUGCUUCAUGAUCUGAUCAAUUAUGAAUAAGGUCCUUGUAAAUCUUUUCAGAUUUUAAUAGUAGGAAUUAUUAUUAUGCAGUGCAAUAUUAUGGUGGCUGUACAAGAUAAUAUCUCUAAAAGAAAGGGCAAAUGAAGUUCAAUAAUAUAGUAGUAAUAACUAAUAAAAGUAAUACAUCUAAAGAAGCUUUUUAGCAGAACAUUUACAUCAGAAAUCAUAGAAAGCUAUGUCUCCACAUGGUUAUUACGGCCUGUUUUUUCACUUCCCGAGUUGAUGUCCAAUAUAACAUUCAUUGAUGUAUAAUGUCCUGUGAUUGAAGCUAAUAUAUGUCCCUGGCAUAGAGAAGGGGUCAGUGAACUGGUGGGAAGUAAGAAAUUGAGGGGUCACAUGGGAUAUCAUGUAAAUCACAGGGGAGGAGCAAUAUUACCAGCAGCUUCUCGAGAAACAGAAGCAUGCUAUAGAUUUAAUGUCACAUAAUUAAGGCGUGUUUUGGCUCAGAACCUUUAAUUUUUUUAGUCAUUUUAGACUACGCUGAUUUUAUGGGUGUUCCUUAUGAGUAAGAAUUUUAUUUGUUAAACAAUAUUUGAUUGGGUUUGUAGAAAAAUGUGACCAAAUUAUAACCACCUGGGUUUCACAGCUGGAGCUUGAGCAGAAAGCCAAAACUCUGCAUGAAGAUAUAAUAAAGCAUGUAUGUAGCUUAUAAAUAUUAUUCUGUUGUGUAGUAGAAUCUUUUUUUUUUGCUAUUGUAAAGAUAGAUCUCAAAAUAUAUAAUUCAAAGUGCAAUUUCAUAGAGUCCUUCCUUAUUUGAA